AUGGGUGCUAUGUAUCCGAACAAGCAAGCCCUGAAGGAUGCAAAAAUUAAUUGGGCAAUGUCCACGCAAAGGGUUUUCAAAGCUGAGGUGUCCAGUCAGAAAUUCCUCACAAUGGUAUGCAAGAACGCAGAUUGUCCCGCAAGGGUGCACGGCUUUCUCCCUAAGUAUGGCACAAGUUGGGUGAUAAGUGACUUAGUUAAUCACACUUGUCUUAUUCCCUGCAUCCCUCAAGAUCAUGCCAACCUUUCAUCCACGCUUAUUGCUCGACUGUUUUACGAUGAGAUAGUGCAAGGCAAAGCUAUGGAAGUGAAGGCAGUGCAGACAAAAGUGUUCGCCAGGUUGAAGUACAGAAUUUCUUAUGGCAAGGCUUGGAGGGCUAAGCAUGCAGCGCUUGAGAGGAGAUUUGGUUCUUAUUUUCAUGCAUAUGACUCUGUUGUCCACCUCCUCCACACCCUGCAGCAGCGGAAUCCAGGCACCUAUAUCGAUAUCCAAGACAUGUUCAUGCCAGAGUUCCCAACUGUGAGGGUUUUGCAUCGUCUCUUCUUCUCUUUCGGUGUAUGCAUCGAAGCUUUCAGGCAUUGCCGACCGGUGAUAUGUGUUGACGGUACUUUUCUCAUAGGCAAGUACAAGGGUCAGAUCCUGACAGCCAUAGGUCAAGAUGGCCAAAAUCAAGUCGUCCCACUGGCAUUUGCUUUUGUGGAGAGUGAGAACAUUGAAAGUUGGACAUGGUUCUUCAGGCAGUUGAAAAUAUCAGUUGUUAAGGAGAAGCCCAAUGUGUGCAUCCUUCAUGACAGGCAUGCAGGUAUACUCAGUGCGAUAAGGACACUGACAAACCCAGGCCCUGAGGAACAAGUUCCAUGGCAGUACUUGCAGAGCCGUUGGUGCAUGCGCCAUCUCGGGGCUAAUUUCUUCUCGCAGUUUAGAAAUAAGAACCUGAUGAAUCUGUUCAAAAAACUCUGCAAGCAGAACCAGUUAUGGAAGUACAAUUUGAUACGCGACGGACUUAAUGUGUGCACGCAGAGACACGUGAGGGAUAGGAAAGCUGCAAGAGAUGCAGCGGUGAGGGCACAUGUUGAAGCAGUAGCUGCACGGUUGGCAACAGGAACAGCGGCCGUGGAGGAGGAGGCUGUUGAGCUAUGUGACCUGCCAGGCUUUGACCCACCUGGUACUAGGAGAAGGCUCGGGAGGUCGAUUAAAACCUUCGAGCAGUGGAUAGAGCAUGAGCCUCUGCAGAGGUGGUCUUUGCUACAUGACACACAUGGAGCAAGGUACGUGUCAUGA
RNAcentral lists this ribosomal RNA (1281 nucleotides) under Triticum aestivum (bread wheat). RNAcentral's name for it is "partial small subunit ribosomal RNA". The record is from RNAcentral. Lineage: Eukaryota; Viridiplantae; Streptophyta; Magnoliopsida; Poales; Poaceae.